GAUGAACGCUAGCUACAGGCUUAACACAUGCAAGUCGAGGGGAAACGACAUCGAAAGCUUGCUUUUGAUGGGCGUCGACCGGCGCACGGGUGAGUAACGCGUAUCCAACCUGCCCACCACUUGGGGAUAACCUUGCGAAAGUAAGACUAAUACCCAAUGAUAUCUCUACAAGACAUCAGAAGGAGAUUAAAGAUUUAUCGGAGAUGGAUGGGGAUGCGUCUGAUUAGCUUGUUGGCGGGGUAACGGCCCACCACGGCUACGAUCACUAGGGGUUCUGAGAGGAAGGUCCCCCACAUUGGAACUGAAACACAGUCCAAACUCCUACGGGAGGCAGCAGUGAGGAAUAUUGGUCAAUGGACGAGAGUCUGAACCAGCCAAGUAGCGUGCAGGAUGACGGCCCUAUGGCUUGUAAACUGCUUUCAUAAGGGAAUAAAGUGAGUCUCGAGAGACUUUUUGCAUGUACCUUAUGACUAAGGACCGGCUAAUUCCGUGCCAGCAGCCGCGGUAAUACGGAAGGUCCGGGCGUUAUCCGGAUUUAUUGGGUUUAAAGGGAGCGUAGGCCGGAGAUUAAGCGUGUUGUGAAAUGUAGACGCUCAACGUCU
Molecule: ribosomal RNA, 602 nt
Filed under: uncultured Bacteroidota bacterium
Lineage: Bacteria; Pseudomonadati; Bacteroidota
Description: bacterial SSU rRNA
Rfam family: Bacterial small subunit ribosomal RNA
Source: RNAcentral